GGGGCACAGGUAUUAUAUAUAUAUAUAUAUAUAUAUAUAUAUAUAUAUAUAUAUAUAUAUUCCGGCCUCCCAC
Podarcis lilfordi (Lilford's wall lizard) is the source of this 73-nucleotide non-coding RNA. The record is from the annotation of a GenBank genome assembly. NCBI's taxonomy places the organism in Eukaryota, Metazoa, Chordata, Lepidosauria, Squamata, Lacertidae.